This 485-nucleotide long non-coding RNA is filed under the name Brassica napus (rape). RNAcentral's name for it is "long non-coding RNA (BNAP_LNC013942)". Lineage: Eukaryota; Viridiplantae; Streptophyta; Magnoliopsida; Brassicales; Brassicaceae. The record is from RNAcentral.
AAGCGCUACGUGACGGGUUAGGAACGAUCCGAUCAGUCACAAAAUUUACUCCACGACCUAGACCAGUUCAUCCACUAACUCGUCCCGCUGCGUCAAGGCACAAGGCUUUGCAACCCGUUCCUAGAGUUAGCGUUUUCCGUUAGAUCGAGGCCUAAGGAUUUUCAACCUAUACCACAACCUAACGUUGUGUUAGAACGGACUAGUCAAAUAUCAGAGUACUCAUGAAGCGCAUAUAAAACAAUUACUUUUAUUGAUUCAAGAAAUACCCAUACACUGAUAUAAUUCGAGACCGGUCCCGGUCUAAUGCCAAAUCGAGUCAACUAAACACAAAUCCACAAUACCGUUAACAAAAGACAUGCAAAUCUACACCGGCGGUCCUAACGCCCAACACCAAGCUAUCCGAUCAUCCUUACUAAAGCUACCUGCAAAAAGAACAACAGAGUUGGAUGAGUAAUCUAGUAUUACUUAGUGAAUUAUUAUCCCCA